GGCGGACGGGUGAGUAACACGUUGAGAAUUUGCCUUUAGGAGGGGGACAACAAUUGGAAACGAAUGCUAAUACCCCAUAUGCUUUCACGAGUAAAAUGGAUUUUAUUAUCUGCCUAAAGAGAAGCUCGCGGCUGAUUAGCUUGUUGGUAAGGUAAAAGCUUACCAAGGCGACGAUCAGUAUCUGGUUUGAGAGGACGAUCAGACACACUGGAACUGAGACACGGUCCAGACUCCUACGGGAGGCAGCAGUGGGGAAUUUUCCGCAAUGGGCGAAAGCCUGACGGAGCAAUACCGCGUGAGGGAAGACUGCCUAUGGGUUGUAAACCUCUUUUUUCA
Molecule: ribosomal RNA, 336 nt
Filed under: uncultured cyanobacterium
Lineage: Bacteria; Bacillati; Cyanobacteriota
Description: bacterial SSU rRNA
Rfam family: Bacterial small subunit ribosomal RNA
Source: RNAcentral